This 441-nucleotide ribosomal RNA is filed under the name uncultured bacterium. Its description in RNAcentral is "bacterial SSU rRNA". It matches the Rfam family "Bacterial small subunit ribosomal RNA", at positions 29 to 459 of the family's 1533-position model. The record is from RNAcentral.
AACGAACGCUGGCGGCGUGCCUAACACAUGCAAGUCGUGCGAGAAAGUUCCUUCGGGAGCGAGUAAAGCGGCGCACGGGUGAGUAACACGUAGGUAACCUGCCCCCCAGUCUGGAACAACUAGAGGAAACUCUAGCUAAUGCCGGAUGAGACCACGAUCCCUUCGGGGGUUGCGGCCAAAGAUGGCCUCUACUUGUAAGCUAUCGCUGAGGGAUGGGCCUGCGGGCCAUUAGCUUGUUGGUGAGGUAACGGCUCACCAAGGCUGUGAUGGCUAGCUGGUCUGAGAGGAUGACCAGCCACACUGGGACUGAGACACGGCCCAGACUCCUACGGGAGGCAGCAGUGGGAAUAUUGCGCAAUGGGCGAAAGCCUGACGCAGCGACGCCGCGUGGGUGAUGAAGGCCUGGUCGUAAGACCUGUCGCAGGGAGGAAGUAAGACGAU